Molecule: non-coding RNA, 4523 nt
Organism: Castor canadensis (American beaver)
Lineage: Eukaryota; Metazoa; Chordata; Mammalia; Rodentia; Castoridae
Source: RefSeq, a predicted model, not a curated record
GCACAAAACAGAAAAGGGAACGGAAGAAAACAGUGUCAUUCAGCAGCAUGCCAACAGAGAAGAAGAUCAGCAGUGCAAGUGAUUGUAUCAACUCAAUGGUGGAGGGAUCAGAACUCAAAAAAGUUCGCUCCAACUCUAGAAUUUACCACAGAUACUUUUUGCUGGAUGCCGACAUGCAGAGCUUGAGGUGGGAGCCAUCUAAGAAGGAUUCUGAGAAAGCCAAGAUUGAUAUUAAAUCCAUCAAGGAAGUGAGAACAGGAAAAAACACAGACAUAUUCCGCAGCAAUGGCAUUUCUGACCAGAUAUCUGAAGACUGUGCAUUUUCAGUCAUAUAUGGAGAGAAUUAUGAGUCACUUGAUUUGGUUGCCAACUCUGCAGAUGUUGCAAACAUCUGGGUUACGGGACUCCGGUACCUAAUUUCUUAUGGAAAGCAUACACUCGAUAUGUUAGAAAGUAGCCAAGACAACAUGAGGACUUCUUGGGUUUCGCAAAUGUUUAGUGAAAUUGAUGUAGAUAACCUUGGACAUAUAACUCUGUGUAAUGCUGUACAGUGUAUCAGAAACCUCAAUCCUGGUUUAAAAACAAGCAAAAUUGAGCUUAAGUUCAAAGAAUUGCACAAAUCAAAGGACAAAGCUGGCACUGAAGUCACAAAGGAAGAAUUUAUUGAGGUUUUCCAUGAGCUUUGUACCAGACCUGAAAUUUACUUCCUUUUAGUUCAGUUUUCAAGCAAUAAAGAAUUCCUUGAUACCAAGGAUCUUAUGAUGUUUCUUGAGGCAGAACAGGGUGUGGCACAUAUCAAUGAGGAAAUAAGCCUUGAAAUUAUUCAUAAAUAUGAGCCAUCUAAAGAGGGCCAGGAAAAGGGCUGGCUCUCCAUAGACGGGUUCACUAAUUAUCUUAUGUCACCUGACUGUUAUAUAUUUGAUCCAGAACAUAAGAAAGUCUGUCAGGAUAUGAAGCAACCCCUUUCUCAUUACUUUAUAAACUCAUCUCAUAAUACAUACUUAAUAGAAGAUCAGUUCCGAGGCCCCUCUGACAUCACAGGGUACAUAAGAGCUCUGAAAAUGGGUUGCCGGAGUGUUGAAUUAGAUGUAUGGGAUGGGCCAGAUAACGAACCUGUCAUUUACACAGGCCACACCAUGACCUCUCAGAUUGUUUUCCGCAGUGUCAUUGAUAUUAUUAACAAGUAUGCAUUCUUUGCUUCAGAGUAUCCUCUUAUCUUGUGUUUAGAAAAUCACUGUUCUAUUAGACAACAGAAGGUAAUGGUUCAACACAUGAAGAAAAUUUUAGGAGAUAAGCUAUAUACAACAUCACCUAAUGUGGAGGAAUCUUAUCUACCGUCCCCAGAUGUCCUGAAAGGGAAAAUACUCAUUAAAGCAAAGAAGCUAUCUUCAAAUUGCCCUGGAGUAGAAGGAGAUGUUACUGAUGAAGAUGAAGGAGCAGAAAUGUCUCAGAGGAUGGGAAAAGAGAACAUGGAACAACCCAACAAUAUGCCUGCGAAGCGAUUUCAGCUUUGCAAAGAAUUGUCUGAACUGGUCAGCAUCUGUAAGUCAGUUCAGUUCAAAGAAUUUCAGGUAUCAUUUCAGGUUCAGAAGUACUGGGAAGUCUGUUCCUUUAAUGAAGUGCUUGCCAGCAAAUAUGCCAAUGAAAAUCCAGGGGACUUUGUAAAUUAUAACAAGCGUUUUCUUGCCAGGGUCUUCCCUAGUCCAAUGAGGAUCGACUCUAGUAACAUGAAUCCUCAAGAUUUUUGGAAAUGUGGUUGUCAAAUUGUAGCCAUGAACUUUCAGACACCAGGACUGAUGAUGGACCUGAAUAUUGGCUGGUUUCGGCAGAAUGGAAACUGUGGCUAUGUCCUUCGUCCAGCUAUCAUGAGGGAAGAAGUGUCCUUCUUCAGUGCCAAUACAAAGGACUCUGUCCCAGGAGUUUCACCUCAGCUCCUUCACAUCAAAAUCAUCAGUGGCCAGAACUUUCCCAAGCCCAAAGGUUCAGGUGCCAAAGGUGAUGUGGUGGAUCCUUACGUCUAUGUAGAAAUCCACGGAAUCCCUGCUGACUGCGCAGAGCAAAGGACAAAAACAGUGCACCAGAAUGGAGAUGCUCCCAUUUUUGAUGAAAGCUUUGAGUUUCAGAUCAACCUCCCUGAACUGGCUAUGGUGCGCUUUGUAGUGCUGGAUGAUGACUACAUUGGGGAUGAAUUUAUUGGUCAGUACACAAUUCCCUUCGAAUGUUUACAGACAGGCUACCGCCACGUCCCCCUGCAAUCCUUGACCGGAGAGGUUCUUGCACAUGCUUCUUUGUUCGUCCAUGUGGCAAUCACUAACCGAAGAGGAGGAGGAAAGCCUCAUAAAAGGGGCCUUUCUGUGCGAAAAGGGAAGAAAUCCAGGGAAUAUGCAUCUCUGAGAACAUUGUGGAUUAAAACUGUAGAUGAGGUGUUCAAGAAUGCCCAGCCCCCCAUACGGGAUGCCACGGAUCUUAGAGAGAAUAUGCAGAAUGCAGUGGUGUCAUUCAAGGAGCUGUGCGGCCUCUCCUCAGUAGCCAAUCUCAUGCAGUGCAUGCUGGCAGUGUCUCCCCGCUUCCUGGGUCCUGAUAACACACCCCUGGUGGUUCUCAAUCUCAGUGAGUCCUACCCCACAAUGGAGCUGCAGGGAAUCGUGCCGGAGGUUCUGAAGAAGAUCGUCACAACUUACGACAUGAUGAUCCAGUCCCUCAAGGCAUUGAUUGAAAAUGCAGAUGCUGUAUAUGAAAAGAUUGUGCAUUGUCAGAAGGCAGCCAUGGAAUUCCAUGAACACUUGCACAGUAUAGGCACCAAAGAGGGUCUGAAGGAACGAAAGCUACAGAAAGCUGUGGAGAGCUUUACCUGGAAUAUUACCAUCUUAAAGUUCCUCUGAAGAUAAGAGAUUUUGAAAAAUGUGAAGAGUCCGUUUUGUUGAGUUCAAAGCUAUGUUUCAGUUACAAACGCCGUUGGUUUAUCUUCUGCUUUGAAAGUCUGUGUGUGAGCUGGGCUCAACUGAAUGGUUUUCCUACUCCGUGUGGUGUUGGCUGGGAUCACUCGUGAGGCGCUGUUCUACUGGGAGCUCAGCUGGACCUGGAAACAGGCUUCAUUCACCAGACUGGCAUCUCAGCUAGGAGGCCAGGGUGGCUGGGCUUCCAUAGCAUCUGUACCACAUCUUAAAGUAAGUAGUUAUAUCCCAAGAUGUCGCCCAGAUGAAUGGCUGCCAAGCUGACUCUCCUGUCCUAUGCCAUUCUACAAGAGGAGACUCUGAAAGUAACUAGAGAUUUGUUCUCUGUUAGGAACACAGGACUUUGGCCAAAAAUAAAUCAAUAAACCAGAUGGUCUUUGAACUGACAUUAGUUUAGAUUUUCUUCAUUUUACCUAAGGUGCAGUGCUUGCUGCAAAGGCUUGAAGGCUGGCAUUUUUUCUUUUUGGAAAAUCACUGUGAUGGCCUUGGAUGAUUCUUUUUCUUAUAAGAAUCAGUUCUCAUAUGUUUUAUUUUGUUUAUUGUAGGUGAUGUAAUAUGUAGCAAGUUUUCCUGAAAAGCUGUACUUGACUGAGAGCCAUUUCUCUAUUUAGUCUGUGAAAAUUCAAGGUAGCUCAAAAAAUCAAACUACAGUAGUGUUCACCAUUAGGCAGACUAUUCUUUCUGAUCCAUUUAAAAGCACAGUAAAACCUCAAACCUUCGGAUCCCACCAAUGUGGAAUUUGUGAUUAGUCAGCUAAUGUUUGAUUAUGCAGAAGGUGUACUUAGAAGAUGACUGGUGCUAAGGAAGUGCUCAUGUACUGUUUCCCCUGAUGUCUUCAGGGAUGUUCCUCUCUGCUCCCUCCUCUCUGGCUCUAGUGCUUUCACCUGGAACCCUUUUCUGAGCUCCUGCCUUCUGUGUUUAUGUUAUGGCCUGUUUGUGUUGUCUAGAGAUAUGAGUGACUGCUCCUGAAACCCCCACCCCACCUCUGCCACCAGAGUGCCUCUUCCACUGAGGGUCCAUAACAGAGGGAAAUACAAAGUCAGAACUUAGGAAGCUUUGUAGUCUUGGCAAUAUACUACCAAAUGCUGUCUGGGCUCCAUUGGCACCAUUUCCUGGAGUCAUGGGCUCUUCAGGGUGGAAGGCAGCACCCUUUACAGCCCCUAGACUUCCCAAUAUCCUUUCCUGCCCUACUGUUGAGGCCUAAAUCAAGCACUACCUUCCCUUUCUCCUCCAUGCUACCUCAGACCCCCCCCCCCAUCUUUUCUGAAGGAAACAUGAAAUUGUUUCUUGGGAGAAUGGCACUCCUUCUGAAUAUAAAUUAAAUUGAAUCUCUUACUGGAAAUUAAAAUUACUGGUGUUUGUACAAACCUUUGGUAAUUUGAGGAAUAACUACAUGUGAUAAGAGCUCAGAUGUGGAAAAAAGUGUGGGGAGAAUCAAGACUCGUGGACUGUCCUCAGAUAGACCCACCAUUAAUUGAGCUGCUGCCUUACACAACUGAACUGUCUCUCUAGAUUAAGAAGGAAAAAGUCAGGGCCAGGAGCCAUGUUUACAGUGUCUUCUUUCCAUUU